ACCGCUCGCCGCGCCCGAAUCGUGCCAAAUUGGUAGUGAUCUCGGGGCGGGGCGUGACAUGAGUAGUCUAAUGUUGUUCCGGUUUUUGUUCUUGUGAACAUUGACAUCGAUUCGUUCCAAAUUUACACUCUCGGGGCAUAAUAGAACAAUAUAAUUAGGUUUUACGCUUUAUUAGAUAGAAUGAGAAAAAGUACCCGUUGCAAAGUUAUACUGUUAGGGUGCAACUGAGUAGUCUAAUGUUAUUCUGAUUUUUAUUCUUGUGAACGUUGACAUCGAUUCGUUCCAAAUUUACAAUCUCGGGGCAUAAUAGAACAAUAUAAUUAGGUUUUACUCUUUGUUCGAUAGAAUGCGAAAAAGUACUCGUUGUAAAGAUAUACUGUUAGGGCGCAACUGAGUAUUCUAAUGUUGAUCUGGUUUUGGUUCUUAUGAAUGUAGACAUCAAUUCAUUCCAAAUUUGCACUCUCGGGGCAUAAUAGAACAAUAUAAUUAGGUUUUACACUUUGUUCGAUAGAAUGAGAAAAAGUACUCGUUGUAAAGUUAUACUGUUAGGGCGCAACGAAGUAUUCUAAUGUUGUUCCGGUUUUGGUUCUUGUGAACGUUGACAUCGAUUCACUCAAAAUUUACACUCUCGGGGCAUAAUAGAACAAUAUAAUUAGGUUUUACUUUUUGUUCGAUCGAAUGAGAAAAAGCACUCGUUGUAAAGUUAUACNGUUUUUGUUCUUGUGAGCGUUGACAUCGAUUCGUUCCAAAUUUACACUCUCUAGGCAUAAUAGAACAAUAUAAUUAGGUUUUACGCUUUCUUCAAAAAAAUGAGAAAAAUUACUCGUUGCAAAGUUAUACAGUUAGGGCGCAACUGAGUAGUCUAAUGUUAUUCCGGUUUUUGUUCUUAUGAGCGUUGACAUCGAUUCGUUCCAAAUUUACAAUCUCUGGGCAUAAUAGAACAAUAUAAUUAGAUUUUACGCUUUCUUCGAUAAAAUGAGAAAAAGCACUCGUUGCAAAGUUAUUCUGUUAUGGCGCAACUGAGUUGUUUAAUGUUGUUCCGGUUUUUGUUCUUGUGAGCGUUGAUAUCGAUUCGUUCCAAAUUUACACUCUCUGGGCAUCAUAGAACAAUAUAAUUAGGUUUUACGAUUUUUUUUAUAAAAUGAGAAAAAUUACUCGUUGCAAAGUUAUACUGUUAUGGCGCAACUGAAGUGCCUAAUGUUGUUCCAGUUUUUGUUCUUGUGAGCGUUGACAUCGAUUCGUUCCAAAUUUACACUCUCUAGGCAUAAUAGAACAAUAUAAUUAGGCUUUACGCUUUCUUCGAUAAAAUGAGAAAAAGUACUCGUUGCAAAGUUAUACUGUUAGGGCGCAACAGAUUUGUCUAAUGUUGUUCCGGUUUUUGUUCUUAUGAGCGUUGACAUCGAUUCGUUCCAAAUUUACACUCUCUGGGCAUAAUAGAACAAUGUAAUUGGAUUUCACGCUUUUUUCGAUAAAAUGAGAAAAAGCACUUGUUGCAAAGUUAUUCUGUUAUGGCGCAACUGAG
Molecule: long non-coding RNA, 1522 nt
Filed under: Ananas comosus (pineapple)
Lineage: Eukaryota; Viridiplantae; Streptophyta; Magnoliopsida; Poales; Bromeliaceae
Description: long non-coding RNA (ACOM_LNC024337)
Source: RNAcentral